UUGUGGAGCCCACCCCUUGUAACAGCAACUCCAUGUGGAAGGGUCUCCUGGUUCCAGUGGAGCUGCUGUUAUCUUGGGUGGGUCAUCCGGGA
RNAcentral lists this microRNA precursor (92 nucleotides) under Ornithorhynchus anatinus (platypus). RNAcentral describes it as "microRNA oan-mir-194 precursor (oan-mir-194-2)". Its record names the gene oan-mir-194-2. The stretch from base 4 to 85 matches the Rfam family "mir-194 microRNA precursor family". From Rfam's summary of the family: The hairpin precursors (represented here) are predicted based on base pairing and cross-species conservation -- their extents are not known. In this case the mature sequence is excised from the 5' arm of the hairpin. Lineage: Eukaryota; Metazoa; Chordata; Mammalia; Monotremata; Ornithorhynchidae. The record is from miRBase by way of RNAcentral.